GGGGAGAGGGGGGGUUGGAGGGAAGUUCAGGGGGUAGUGCGCUCUUUCUGCUGUUUGCGCUUAGCCUCCAUUUGCUCCUGUCAAAAAGACUCGAGGUGCUCAGUGCCUUCCCGGAAGCUGCUUCUCCAAAUUGGUCAUAGUAAUUGUACAAAUCACAUCAACAACCGAUUGUUUUUGUGGAUAUUGUUCUGUAGGUGAAUUUCUGAAAGGGCCAUCAUUAAAUAUUGCCUUGAUUAUUUACCUGCAUUGAUUGAAUAAUGUUCCAGUUACUUAUUAUUACCAUGCCAUUUUUUAUAAUGUUAAUACCUAUCUUGGAUGAUGUCAGAUUGCUUUAUAGUAUUUUCUCAUUUUCCUUUGGCUCAAUUUAAUUACUUUAUGCAAUCUGGCACCUUUACAUGGCGGAAGCUGCACUUCACCACUGCGAUAUCUCCUCAAGGUAUGCCUACUUUGAAGAAGUUCUCCUCCACUUUGUCUACUUCACCAUCAGAGUUUUGUUGAUGUCCCUAGCGAGAGUUGAGAAUGUCAAACCAGUCAUGUUUUCUUUGAUCUUUUGCAUGGUUUCCAUAUCAAUUCAAACAAAACGAGAUGACCAUGUGUCCUCUUACUCCUCCUAGUAAGUCUCUUGCAUGAGAAAAGCUGUGGCUAUCAAGAUAAUGUCUGUCCCAUUAAGGAACACUUGGUCUGGAUCUUACGGACUUCCUUGUAUAUGGCUUAUAGUCACUUUACGCGUGCCCUUUCACAUCACCUGUUUUCACCUGGUGAGGUAACCUCUGCCAAAAUCAAACCAAUGACUCUUAGGCAUAUAGAUAUGAAAAAUUAUUUUCCGCAUCAGAAAGUUAGAUUCUCAUGUGUUUUAGAGUGUGUGCCAGCAACUGACAUCAGAUGUUUCCAUAUUAAAAUGUGGGAGCAAAUGUCAGGCUGUUGAGAAGGAGAGGCUGUAUGGGCUCAACAGUGUCGAAUCUAACUAGGUAGGCCAUAUCACACAUUGUGUGUGCCAAAAAGCAUUAUCAGUUGAGAACCACUUGAAUGUCCCAUUGAAGAAAUCUCCAAUCAGAAAUGAAAAAAGUUGUAGAUGCUGGAAUCUGAAAUUAAAAAUAAGGUACUGAAAUGACUCGGCAGAUCAGGCGACAUCUGUGGAAAGAGAAAUGGUGACUGAUUUAUGGCUGGAACCCUUCAACAACAGUGUAGUGUAGGUAGAAGAGGAGAAUGGGUUCAGGCAAUUUCUCUGAUAGGAUAAUGUAACCGCUUUGGGGCAAUUUAGCUCCUUUGUCUGUCUCAUGCAUUGCUCAUGUUGUAAUGUUUGUGUAAUGUUGCAUAGCCAGAUCAAACCGUACAAAUGAGAGAGAGGAGAGGGGGGAGGGGCGGAGUAUAGCAGCUAAAAUGGCCAUCUGAAUACAAGCAGAAAAAAAGAAAGAAAGCCAGUUUGCUAAAUUACUCCAGAAUUUUUGUGCCUAUCUGCGCCGUAAACCAGCAUAUGCAGUUCCUUCCCACUCAAUAUUGAGUCCUGUAGGCUCCAAAAUCCCAAACAAAAGAGAUGAGAUGCUCUUCUUCAAGCUUGCAUUAGGCCACACUGUAAACCUUCAUAAAUCAAAGCUUUUGCAGGAUUGGUAGAUUAGAGCAAUAUGUAGGAUGUUUCAAAGCAUAAUUCCACCCCCAUAUAUAUUUUGUGAUUUUAUUCCUAACUCUUAAAGGAAUGUGCAUCAGAACUCAGAUUGUACAUUAGGGCUGCAAGUCUGCAAUGAAAAGUUUGCUUAAUGUUCCUGCAAUUCGAGACAUUUACACCUUUAUUUAUAAAAAAACAGCAAUUGCUGGAAAUAUUCACCAGGUCAGGCCAUGUCUCUGGGAAGAGAAACAGUCAGAAUUUCAGAUCUUUUGUCAGAUUUUUGUAUCUCCAACUUUCUUUGGGAGGUGCAGAAAUGCAACCUUGGUAUGACUGAGGUACACCAUCCCUUUUAACUUGCCAUUUGCUUGUAAUAUUCUAACUAUGCAAUAGAACCAAAGACUCUCGGGUUCGAGGGCCCAACUAAAGGGUUUAUGUUGUAUGACUAACACAGUAAAUAUGGCUAUGGUUUAUGUAUCAGAGUCUCUGAGAAUGCCAGCUAACAGCUCAUGCAGCUUCACUUGAUUGGGAGGAGUAAUUGAAACGCUGCUUUCAAUCUAAGGUUGUGCCAGUAUAAAUUCUGGUGAAAUCCUCGAUGGAGCAUGUAUUAUUUCUGCGGUUUUGGCAUUUUGCAUCCCAAUUCUAAUAUCUCAAAUUAAAUCCAACAUCUCUUUUUUCCCCCAUUAAAAAUAUAACUUUCAUUUAAUUUCUGAGAAUCUCUACAGUAGUAUUCCAGCUCUGAUCAGGUUAUGCUUUAUUUCAACAUGCAAUCCACAUCGAUUGACAUUCAGGGUAAAGAGAAUCUAAUUCCUGUUUCCUCUCCUUAUCGUAAAACAAUUCCACUGUGUUAUUUCCUUUAGCCAGUUUGUUAUAUGUCCGUGUAUCAUUUCAUAAACUUUGCAGCUUCAGUUCUGUUGACUGGGUGAGCUAGUCUGUGCUGGGUCAUAUGUGCACUACUUAGAAAUGUUAGUGAAUCAUCGGCAGGCAGUGAGUAGUGAUAAUGGAGACACAAGACAUUGCAGAUACUUGUAUCUUGAGCAAAGAACAGGCUGCUCGAGGAACCCUGUGGGUCAGGCAACACCUGUGGAGGGAAAUGGACAGACAAUAUUUCAGGUUGGGACCCUUCUUCAGACUGAUGAGAACAGUGAUAAUGUACAAUGGCUGCAUUGUGAAUGCCUACGUAAUGGAAUAGGACAUGAGGUACUAGUUAUAGAUCCACUUUUGUAAAGUUUGUUAAACAAAGCCUGUCACCAGAAAUGAUAGCUUUUAGAUAAAUUCCAUUAUUUAAAGAUCUACAUCCCCCUAUUUGUUUGCACUAUAUGAUCGGCUAUUUAUGAGAAAGGAAACAUUAAACCUUAUCUACUAAUUAAGAGCUUCAGUCUGUCACUAUUUCCAUAACAGACAUGCCAUGACUCAAUCUAAACCCUUUACUGUGGCGAGCUGCACUUUCCCUAUUUAGUUUGUGUGAACCUGGCUGCACUUUUGAAAGUAUUUUUAUUUAAAUAUUUUAAACAUGGUACAUGUGUUGCAGUUUUUGUACCUGUUCUCCCCAUCAAACUGCAAAUACUUUACAAUCAAAGGAAUCUGUAAUUAAUGUAUUUUAUGCACAUAAAGGCAAUAAAGUCUCAAGGUCAUCAGGAAACGUUCUUAAACACAGGUACAAUGUACGGAGUGAUUCAAUUAAAAAGACAAUAUUUUUAUAAUUGCGUGUAAAGAGCUAGUGUUGCGGUAAAUCUGGUCCUUUAAGAUGUUUAAUAAUGACAGGAUACUUAUUAAAGAUGCUAAUUAAAUGUGUAAAUUUCAUUUUAUGUAACAUGGCUGACAGUUUAUAGUCUUGUAUAUAAUCCUUGCUUCUGUCAUUCAACACAAUGUACUGAAAUUCUCUGUAAGCUUUUAAGUGAUUUUAAAUAAAAUGUGAAUUCUGAUGCAAA
Molecule: long non-coding RNA, 3531 nt
Organism: Leucoraja erinaceus (little skate)
Lineage: Eukaryota; Metazoa; Chordata; Chondrichthyes; Rajiformes; Rajidae
Exons: 2
Source: RefSeq, a predicted model, not a curated record